AUGAAGCGCCUCUUCCGACGGCUCUCCCGCGUCGCCGCGGCCGACUCCUCCUCCGCGGCUGCCGCCACGGCGUACCGGCAGCUCCGCGCGCCGAAGCAGUCCGCGUCGGCGGCCGGCGGCGGCUGCGCCAAGGUGCCGCAGGGGCACGUGCCGGUGUGCGUCGGCGAGGAGGGCGGGCCCGUGGAGCGGUUCGCGGUGCGCGCGGACCUGCUGGGCCGGCCGGCCUUCGCGGCGCUGCUCCUGCGCGCCGCCCAGGAGUACGGCUACGGCCACCCCGGCGCGCUCCGCAUCCCCUGCCCCGUCGCCGACUUCCGCCGCCUCCUCGUCCGCCUCUCCGACGACCCCUACGCCGACGAGUGCUAG
Molecule: ribosomal RNA, 363 nt
Filed under: Triticum aestivum (bread wheat)
Lineage: Eukaryota; Viridiplantae; Streptophyta; Magnoliopsida; Poales; Poaceae
Description: partial small subunit ribosomal RNA
Source: RNAcentral